This 492-nucleotide ribosomal RNA is filed under the name uncultured bacterium. Its description in RNAcentral is "partial 16S ribosomal RNA". It matches the Rfam family "Bacterial small subunit ribosomal RNA", at positions 29 to 507 of the family's 1533-position model. The record is from RNAcentral.
AUUGAACGCUGGCGGCAUGCUUUACACAUGCAAGUCGAACGGUAACAGGCCUUCGGGUGCUGACGAGUGGCGCACGGGUGAGUAAUGCACCGGAACGUGCCCAGAGGUGGGGGAGAACGCAGCGAAAGCUGUGCUAAUACCGCAUGUGAUCUGAGGAUGAAAGCGGGGGACCAGGCAGCAAUGUUUGGCCUCGCGCCUUUGGAGCGGCCGAUGUCAGAUUAGGUAGUUGGUGGGGUAAAGGCCUACCAAGCCGACGAUCUGUAGCUGGUCUGAGAGGACGACCAGCCACACUGGAACUGAGACACGGCCCAGACUCCUACGGGAGGCAGCAGUGGGGAAUUUUGGACAAUGGGCGCAAGCCUGAUCCAGCAAUGCCGCGUGCGGGAAGAAGGCCUUCGGGUUGUAAACCGCUUUUGUACGGAACGAAAAGGCUCUGGCUAAUACCUGGGGCUGAUGACGGUACCGUAAGAAUAAGCACCGGCUAACUACGUG